AAUAAUGGCGAACAGGUGAGUAACACGUGAGUAACCCUGCCCUUGGCUCUGGGAUAAGCCUGGGAAACUGGGGUGUAAUACUGGAUACGACCUUCCCCCCGCAUGUGGUGUUGGUGGAAAGCUUUGUGUUUUUGGAUGGUCUCGCGGCCUAUCAGCUUGUUGGUGGGGUAAUGGCCUACCAAGGAGACGACGGGUAAACGACGUGAGAGGGUGGACGGCCAACACUGGGGCUGAGACACGGCCCAGCCUCCUACGGGAAACAGCGGUGGGGAAUAUUGCACAAUGGGCGCAAGCUUGAUGCAGCGACGCCGAGUGAGGGAUGAAGACCUUAGGGUUGUAAACCUCUUUCAGUAGGGAAGAAGCGAAAGUGCCGGUUCCGGCUGAAGAAGCGCCGCCAAAUUAAGUUCCCGCCGCCGCGGUAAUACGUAGGGGGCAAGGAUUAUCCGGAAUUAUUGGGGGU
This 460-nucleotide ribosomal RNA is filed under the name Arthrobacter sp. CE3C4. RNAcentral describes it as "bacterial SSU rRNA". It matches the Rfam family "Bacterial small subunit ribosomal RNA", at positions 91 to 561 of the family's 1533-position model. The record is from RNAcentral. Lineage: Bacteria; Bacillati; Actinomycetota; Actinomycetes; Micrococcales; Micrococcaceae.